This 480-nucleotide ribosomal RNA is filed under the name uncultured bacterium. Its description in RNAcentral is "bacterial SSU rRNA". It matches the Rfam family "Bacterial small subunit ribosomal RNA", at positions 30 to 506 of the family's 1533-position model. The record is from RNAcentral.
UUGAACGCUGGCGGCAUGCCUUACACAUGCAAGUCGAACGGUAACGCGGGGCAACCUGGCGACGAGUGGCGAACGGGUGAGUAAUGCAUCGGAACGUGCCCAACAGUGGGGGAUAGCCCGGCGAAAGCCGGAUUAAUACCGCAUACGACCUGAGGGUGAAAGCGGGGGACCGUAAGGCCUCGCGCUGUUGGAGCGGCCGAUGUCAGAUUAGGUUGUUGGUGGGGUAAAAGCCUACCAAGCCGACGAUCUGUAGCUGGUCUGAGAGGACGACCCGCCACACUGGAACUGAGACACGGUCCAGACUCCUACGGGAGGCAGCAGUGGGGAAUUUUGGACAAUGGGGGCAACCCUGAUCCAGCCAUUCCGCGUGAGUGAAGAAGGCCUUCGGGUUGUAAAGCUCUUUCAGCAGGAACGAAACGGUAGGCUUUAAUACGGUCUGCUAAUGACGGUACCUGCAGAAGAAGCACCGGCUAACUACGU